RNAcentral lists this ribosomal RNA (454 nucleotides) under uncultured bacterium. RNAcentral's name for it is "SSU rRNA". It matches the Rfam family "Bacterial small subunit ribosomal RNA", at positions 26 to 518 of the family's 1533-position model. The record is from RNAcentral.
AGAGCGAACGCUGGCGGCAUGCUUAACACAUGCAAGUCGCACGGGCAGGGGCAACCCUGUCAGUGGCGGACGGGUGAGUAACGCGUAGGUAUCUAUCCUUGGGUGGGGGACAACUGUGGGAAACUACAGCUAAUACCGCAUGAUAACUGAGGUUUAAAGGCGCAAGUCGCCUGGGGAGGAGCCUGCGUACGAUUAGCUUGUUGGUGGGGUAAAGGCCUACCAAGGCGACGAUCGUUAGCUGGUCUGAGAGGAUGAUCAGCCACAUUGGGACUGAGACACGGCCCAAACUCCUACGGGAGGCAGCAGUGGGGAAUAUUGGACAAUGGGCGAAAGCCUGAUCCAGCAAUGCCGCGUGUGUGAAGAAGGUCUUCGGAUUGUAAAGCACGUUUCGACGGGGACGAGUGAUGACGGUACCCGUAGAAGAAGCCCCGGCUAACUUCGUGCCAGCAGCCGC